CGAAGAGGUCACACCCGUUCCCAUGCCGAACACGGAAGUUAAGCUCUUCAGCGCCGAUGGUAGUCGGGGGUUUCCCCCUGUGAGAGUAGGACGCCGCCAAGCC
This 103-nucleotide ribosomal RNA is filed under the name Bacillus sp. CN2. Lineage: Bacteria; Bacillati; Bacillota; Bacilli; Caryophanales; Bacillaceae. The record is from RNAcentral.